UCAACAGGCUGGCCUGUCGCUCCCGCAAGGGGGAGGAAAGUCGGGACAAUACAGAGCACCAUACUUCCUAACAGGAAGACACCGUCCCACAGGAUUGGUGAUAGACAGUGCUGCAGAAAAUAAUCGCCAAAGCCCAAUGGGCUGGUAAGGGUGAAAAUGUGGGGUAAGAGCCCACGCUGUAUAAUGGUGACAUUAUACAGGGGUAAACCUUAUGGAUUGCAAGGUCAAAUAUACCGGUGUUUGAGGGUUGCUCGCCCGAUGCCGGUGGGUAGACUGCAUGAGUUAUACAGUGAUGUAUAACCUAGAUAAAUGACAGACACUCUCCUGAUCGAUUUCAGGUGAGAACAGAAUCCCGCUUACAAGCCUGUUGAACAU
Molecule: RNase P RNA, 375 nt
Filed under: Bacteroidota bacterium
Lineage: Bacteria; Pseudomonadati; Bacteroidota
Description: Bacteroidetes bacterium RNase P RNA component class A
Rfam family: Bacterial RNase P class A
About the family: Ribonuclease P (RNase P) is a ubiquitous endoribonuclease, found in archaea, bacteria and eukarya as well as chloroplasts and mitochondria.
Source: RNAcentral